This is a non-coding RNA of Mycena capillaripes, 91 nucleotides long. NCBI's taxonomy places the organism in Eukaryota, Fungi, Basidiomycota, Agaricomycetes, Agaricales, Mycenaceae. The record is from the annotation of a GenBank genome assembly.
UCGGAUGUGGUGCACGGCGCACACCCCCACAAUAUGUUGAAGGAAGGUCUUGUUGAGGCGGGAGUCCUGGGUUCGACUCCCAGCAUCCGAG